This 74-nucleotide transfer RNA is filed under the name Pantoea sp. SoEX. Its description in RNAcentral is "tRNA-Gly". It matches the Rfam family "tRNA". Rfam says of the family: Transfer RNA (tRNA) molecules are approximately 80 nucleotides in length. Their secondary structure includes four short double-helical elements and three loops (D, anti-codon, and T loops). Lineage: Bacteria; Pseudomonadati; Pseudomonadota; Gammaproteobacteria; Enterobacterales; Erwiniaceae. The record is from RNAcentral.
GCGGGUAUUGUAUAAAGGUAUUACCUUAGCCUUCCAAGCUAAUGAUACGGGUUCAAUUCCCGUUACCCGCUCCA